RNAcentral lists this transfer RNA (91 nucleotides) under Phakopsora pachyrhizi. RNAcentral's name for it is "tRNA-Glu". It matches the Rfam family "tRNA". Rfam says of the family: Transfer RNA (tRNA) molecules are approximately 80 nucleotides in length. Their secondary structure includes four short double-helical elements and three loops (D, anti-codon, and T loops). The record is from RNAcentral. Lineage: Eukaryota; Fungi; Basidiomycota; Pucciniomycetes; Pucciniales; Phakopsoraceae.
UCCGAAUUAGUAUAUCGGCUAGUAUGACCGCCUCUCACUUGAUGCAACGAUGUGAACGCGGUAGAGACGGGUUCGACUCCCGUAUUCGGAA